RNAcentral lists this ribosomal RNA (567 nucleotides) under Pancrustacea sp. NZAC 03009125. Its description in RNAcentral is "eukaryotic LSU rRNA". It matches the Rfam family "Eukaryotic large subunit ribosomal RNA", at positions 582 to 855 of the family's 3401-position model. Lineage: Eukaryota; Metazoa; Arthropoda. The record is from RNAcentral.
CUCCUUACGUGCGCCGUGCUUAACGGAGACGUGCACUUCUCCUCCAGUAGGACGUCGCGACCCGUUGGGUGUCGGUCUGAGGCUUGCGGUGGAGCCCGUUCGUCAGUUUCGGCUGUUCGUUCGGACCCGUGAUGUUCCGGCCGACUGCUUGACGGUAGAAAUAAGGCGCAGAGCCGCGACUAGCUCGCGUUCGGCCCGAUGCAAGCGCGCACGGUUACCCGAUCGUCGGACAUGUGCCGACCUCAGGGCCGGUCGGCUGUUGGUGUCGGUGUUCCCGAACAGACUCUGUACAAGCCUGUCAGCGGCGCUAUAGCUUUGGGUACUUUCAGGACCCGUCUUGAAACACGGACCAAGGAGUCUAGCAUGUGCGCGAGUCAUUGGGACUAUCUAAUCCUAAAGGCGCAAUGAAAGUAAAGGCAGAGCCUGGCUCAGCCAAGGGAAGAUGGGUGACGCAAGUCGCCUCGCACUCCCGGGGCGUCUCGUUCUCAUUGCGAGAAGAGGCGCACCUAGAGCGUACACGCUGGGACCCGAAAGAUGGUGAACUAUGCCUGAUCAGGACGAAGUCAG